RNAcentral lists this unclassified non-coding RNA (337 nucleotides) under soil metagenome. Its description in RNAcentral is "partial contains 5.8S ribosomal RNA, internal transcribed spacer 2, and large subunit ribosomal RNA". The stretch from base 1 to 120 matches the Rfam family "5.8S ribosomal RNA", at positions 35 to 154 of the family's 154-position model. The record is from RNAcentral.
GAUGAAGAACGUAGCGAAAUGCGAUAAGUAGUAUGAAUUGCAGAAUUCAGUGAAUCAUCGAAUCUUUGAACGCACAUUGCGCCCCUUGGUAUUCCAUGGGGCAUGCCUGUUCGAGCGUCAUUUGUACCUUCAAGCUCUGCUUGGUGUUGGGUGUUUGUCUCGCCUCUGCGUGUAGACUCGCCUCAAAACAAUUGGCAGCCGGCGUAUUGAUUUCGGAGCGCAGUACAUCUCGCGCUUUGCACUCAUAACGACGACGUCCAAAAGUACAUUUUUACACUCUUGACCUCGGAUCAGGUAGGGAUACCCGCUGAACUUAAGCAUAUCAAUAAGCGGAGGA